This 329-nucleotide ribosomal RNA is filed under the name uncultured eukaryote. Its description in RNAcentral is "partial 18S ribosomal RNA". It matches the Rfam family "Eukaryotic small subunit ribosomal RNA", at positions 1470 to 1796 of the family's 1831-position model. The record is from RNAcentral.
CCCUUAGAUGUCCUGGGCCGCACGCGCGUUACACUGAUGCAUUCAACGAGCUUAUAACCUUGGCCGAGAGGCCUGGGCAAUCUUGUUAACGUGCAUCGUGAUAGGGAUAGAUUAUUGAAAUUAUUAAUCUUGAACGAGGAAUUCCUAGUAAACGCAGAUCAUCAAUCUGCAUUGAUUACGUCCCUGCCCUUUGUACACACCGCCCGUCGCUACUACCGAUUGGGAAAAUUUUAGAGAGUCCUGGACUGAUGAUUGUUCGGCUUCACGGCCUUACUUUCGUCGGGAAAGAAUUCGAUAAUAUUUUUCUAGAGGAAGUAAAAGUCGUAACA